GAUGAACGCUGGCGGCGUGCCUAAUACAUGCAAGUCGAGCGAACGGACGAGAAGCUUGCUUUUCUGAUGUUAGCGGCGGACGGGUGAGUAACACGUGGAUAACCUACCUAUAAGACUGGGAUAACUUCGGGAAACCGGAGCUAAUACCGGAUAAUAUUUUGAACCGCAUGGUUCAAAAGUGAAAGACGGUCUUGCUGGCACUUAUAGAUGGAUCCGCGCUGCAUUAGCUAGUUGGUAAGGUAACGGCUUACCAAGGCAACGAUGCAUAGCCGACCUGAGAGGGUGAUCGGCCACACUGGAACUGAGACACGGUCCAGACUCCUACGGGAGGCAGCAGUAGGGAAUCUUCCGCAAUGGGCGAAAGCCUGACGGAGCAACGCCGCGUGAGUGAUGAAGGUCUUCGGAUCGUAAAACUCUGUUAUUAGGGAAGAACAUAUGUGUAAGUAACUGUGCACAUCUUGACGGUACCUAAUCAGAAAGCCACGGCUAACUACGUG
This 497-nucleotide ribosomal RNA is filed under the name uncultured bacterium. Its description in RNAcentral is "partial 16S ribosomal RNA". It matches the Rfam family "Bacterial small subunit ribosomal RNA", at positions 28 to 507 of the family's 1533-position model. The record is from RNAcentral.